AUUGAACGCUGGCGGCAUGCCUAACACAUGCAAGUCGAACGGCAGCACAGUAGAGACUUCGGUCUUUAUGGGUGGCGAGUGGCGGACGGGUGAGUAAUGCGUAGGAAUCUGUCCUGGAGCGCGGGAUAACCCGAGGAAACUCGGGCUAAUACCACAUGACAUCGAGAGAUCAAAAGCAGGGGACCGAAGGGCCUUGCGCUCUGGGGUGAGCCUACGUCGGAUGAGCUAGUUGGUGGGGGAAGAGCCUACCAAGGCGACGAUCCGUAGCUGGUCUGAGAGGAUGACCAGCCACACUGGGACUGAGACACGGCCCAGACUCCUACGGGAGGCAGCAGUGGGGAAUCUUGGACAAUGGGGGAAACCCUGAUCCAGCGAUGCCGCGUGUGUGAAGAAGGCCUUCGGGUUGUAAAGCACUUUAGGUGGGGAAGAAAGGUAAUGGGCGAAUAACUCAUUGCUAUGACGGUACCCGCAGAAUAAGCACCGGCUAACUCUGUGCCAGCCGCCGCAGUAA
Molecule: ribosomal RNA, 511 nt
Filed under: uncultured bacterium
Lineage: Bacteria
Description: partial 16S ribosomal RNA
Rfam family: Bacterial small subunit ribosomal RNA
Source: RNAcentral